GCUGUGAUGGCCGAGUGGUUAAGGCGCUGGACUUGAAACCAAUGGGGUUUCCCCACAAGAGGUUCGAACUCCUGCUCAAGAA
RNAcentral lists this transfer RNA (82 nucleotides) under Alosa alosa (allis shad). RNAcentral's name for it is "tRNA-OTHER". Lineage: Eukaryota; Metazoa; Chordata; Actinopteri; Clupeiformes; Clupeidae. The record is from RNAcentral.